Long non-coding RNA from Esox lucius (northern pike), 2085 nucleotides. RefSeq lists it as uncharacterized. Lineage: Eukaryota; Metazoa; Chordata; Actinopteri; Esociformes; Esocidae. The record is from RefSeq and is a predicted model, not a curated record. The transcript has 3 exons.
UGUUUUGCAGGGUAAAUGCUUACAAAACCUUAAGUUUUCUUAGACAGGUGAGAGACCGGACGUGUGCCAUAGGAGCAAAAAAUUGUUCCAGCGUGGGCCCCUACCACCCCAAGGACGCACAUCUACACGACAACACCCUGUGGAUUGCAGCCCUGGAGGAUGGAGCAGGCACAGUAUUCCAAGACACCAGAGUGGUACUCCACGCCACCAUGUAGAGGAUUGCUACAUAUGAGGAUGCAGGAACACAACUUGGAGAAGAAAUGGCCAAAUUGGAUGUGUGCUCUCUCAACCACCUCUAUGUCUAACCCAGUAGUUAAAGUCAAAAGUGAUAUACAGUACAAGCAGCAUGGUAGAGUUAAUAUCUAUUACAUUUAUAUUUAUUCAUAUACUUCCCCAAUGCCAUACGUUUCUUUAAGGGGGUUGGUGAUCUACAGUAUGGACUGGAAUAACUAGUGAUUUUGGGAGGGGAAAUUUGCUUAUUUGCUCCAUACCAGACAUUUUGCAUCUAUUUGGUAUUCAAACACACAGAAAACUCUCAAACGUGAGUGGGAUAGCUAAAUACCGGGAUUGCUAUGUGUAGGCAACCCCAGCAAAUUCUCCAUUAGAUACCUUUUCCCUGCGCCUACGGGUCGGGAUAGAUCUCUCACUGUUGUUUGUGCCUACAGGCCGAAUGACAGUGCAGAGCACCGGACCUUUUUGGAGUCUUUGGGAGGGGUGCUGGAAAGUGCUCCGACUGGGGACUCCAUCGUUCUACUGGGGGACUUCAGUAGCUGCCCUUUUCCAACAGUCAGGUGAAGAUGCUCUCGUAUGUGAAGAAGCAAGGGCUAGUUUUGCAACAAAAUGGCAAAAACAAAUGUGUUGCCCUGAGCCCCCUUUUUCAAAUGGUCUGUAUUACUACCUUCAGAGAGGGAUUGUAUGAAUGCAUUCUUUGGUUUAGGAUUAUGAGUUGUGUCCUCAUCGCUCUAUCAAAGUGUGGACUAGUUUUGAUGGACAGCAAAUCUGUUCAGAGAUCUGUUCCUGUGUUAUGACAAGUCAUUCAACUACUCAAAAUGACUACUAAUUGCAGCAUACUGUUCAUGUGAACAGAGAAAAAGUAUUAGUUUUACAUUGACCAUUGUACCCUUUUAAAAUAAUUAGUGUUAUUAAUUGGCUUUGGCUCCAUGUCUGUGGAAAAACUCAGCAGCAGAAGGAACUUUGUUUCCAAUAUUAUUAUGUAUAGUAUAUUUCUAACUGUACUGAUGAGGAUGGGGUGGGUAGAAUGAUCUAUUAUCACUGAACUGUGUCGAAUGGACAGUCCCUUUUGUAACAAUCCCCUAGUAACAAGUUCAAUUAGGUUUGCUGCAAAUGUAAUUACUAUACUAUAUUUUCUGCCCUUAAGGUUCUUCCAAUGUAAAGUUUUUUUUUUAAAUGAUGACUGCUUAUAUUUAUUUUAUGUUGUCUCUUUGUUAUUCUUAACGCUUAAACUUGCUGCUGCCUAUCUUGGCAAGGAUGCUCCUUAAAAACUGAUUUUUAAUCUCAAUGAGCCUUUCCUGAUUAAGUAAAUAAGUGUUGGAAAUUAUUAUUGUGGAAGCCAAUUUGAACACUUAAUAUACUUUUUCUUGAAAACAAGAACUGUGUUACCUGUAGAAAAGUCUCAAUCAUAGAUCUCCUGGUAUACUUUAGGAAUAACCUUGUGAGUGUGAAUGUAACAAUAAUGAGUUUGAGUGUAACAUUUGAAGAUGUUGUAAUAAUUAGUUGUGUAGAUUGGUUGCCAUGACAAAUCAAUCAACUAAUAAAGCACUGUAAUUUCAAGACUCAAUAUAUGCCCAUGUUUUGUAAGCUGUUUUACCAUUUACCAUUUGUCUGCUGUGCCUCUUAAAAUUUUAUAAAUGUAAUUAACGCAUACUGCCCAUACUGCAUAGUUAUGUUUACAUUAUGAUUUUGGGUUAGUUCUGUUCCACAGCUAACUAGCUAAAUUAAAACACGCUGUCAUUUGUAUAUAUCAGUUUUCCAGCCAGCUUCAUCUUAGCCUGUUAGAUAUCUAACAUAGGUGCACGAGAUGAUUGUUCAGUGAAUACAAUCGACACGUUUUAUAUAUGGAAUUUG